AGAGUUUGAUCAUGGCUCAGGACGAACGCUGGCGGCGUGCCUAAUACAUGCAAGUCGAGCGAGCUGAAUUCAAAGAACCCUUCGGGGUGAUUUGUUGGACGCUAGCGGCGGAUGGGUGAGUAACACGUGGGCAAUCUGCCCUAAAGACUGGGAUAACACUUGGAAACAGGUGCUAAUACCGGAUAACAACAUGAAUCGCAUGAUUCAAGUCUGAAAGGCGGCGUAAGCUGUCACUUUAGGAUGAGCCCGCGGCGCAUUAGCUAGUUGGUGGGGUAAAGGCCUACCAAGGCAAUGAUGCGUAGCCGAGUUGAGAGACUGAUCGGCCACAUUGGGACUGAGACACGGCCCAAACUCCUACGGGAGGCAGCAGUAGGGAAUCUUCCACAAUGGACGCAAGUCUGAUGGAGCAACGCCGCGUGAGUGAAGAAGGUUUUCGGAUCGUAAAGCUCUGUUGUUGGUGAAGAAGGAUAGAGGCAGUAACUGGUCUUUAUUUGACGGUAAUCAACCAGAAAGUCACGGCUAACUACGUGCCAGCAGCCGCGGUAAUACGUAGGUGGCAAGCGUUGUCCGGAUUUAUUGGGCGUAAAGCGAGCGCAGGCGGAAUGAUAAGUCUGAUGUGAAAGCCCACGGCUCAACCGUGGAACUGCAUCGGAAACUGUCAUUCUUGAGUGCAGAAGAGGAGAGUGAACUCCAUGUGUAGCGGUG
This 705-nucleotide ribosomal RNA is filed under the name uncultured Lactobacillus sp. RNAcentral's name for it is "bacterial SSU rRNA". It matches the Rfam family "Bacterial small subunit ribosomal RNA", at positions 8 to 683 of the family's 1533-position model. Lineage: Bacteria; Bacillati; Bacillota; Bacilli; Lactobacillales; Lactobacillaceae. The record is from RNAcentral.